RNAcentral lists this ribosomal RNA (253 nucleotides) under uncultured bacterium. RNAcentral's name for it is "partial 16S ribosomal RNA". It matches the Rfam family "Bacterial small subunit ribosomal RNA", at positions 524 to 776 of the family's 1533-position model. The record is from RNAcentral.
UACGAAGGGGGCUAGCGUUGCUCGGAAUUACUGGGCGUAAAGGGCGCGUAGGCGGACAGUUUAGUCAGAGGUGAAAGCCCAGGGCUCAACCUUGGAACUGCCUUUGAUACUGACUGUCUUGAGUUCGGGAGAGGUGAGUGGAAUGCCGAGUGUAGAGGUGAAAUUCGUAGAUAUUCGGAAGAACACCAGUGGCGAAGGCGACUUACUGGACGAUUGUUGACGCUGAGGUGCGAAAGCGUGGGGAGCAAACAGG